This 395-nucleotide ribosomal RNA is filed under the name Protaspa sp. RNAcentral describes it as "partial small subunit ribosomal RNA". It matches the Rfam family "Eukaryotic small subunit ribosomal RNA", at positions 582 to 975 of the family's 1831-position model. Lineage: Eukaryota; Cercozoa; Thecofilosea; Cryomonadida; Protaspidae. The record is from RNAcentral.
AUUCCAGCUCCAAGAGCGUAUAUUAAAGUUGUUGCAGUUAAAAAGCUCGUAGUUGGAUUUCUGGUAUAAUGCGCCUGGCCCGCUCCGUUUCGGAGUGAGUGCCGGUGCGCGUUUGCCAUCCUUCUAGAAAAUGUUUCUACCCUUCGCUGGGCCGGAUUCACGAUCUAGAUCUUUUACUUUGAAAAAAUUAGAGUGUUUAAAGCAGGCUUUUGCUAUGAAUACAUUAGCAUGGAAUAAUAAUCUAGGACUUCGGUUCUAUUUUGUUGGUUUCUAGUACUGAAGUAAUGAUUGAUAGGGAUAGUUGGGGGUGCUAGUAUUGACCGGCCAGAGGUGAAAUUCUUGGAUUCGGUCAAGACUAACUUAUGCGAAAGCAUUCACCAAGGAUGUCUUCAUUA